AGCGAACGCUGGCGGCAGGCUUAACACAUGCAAGUCGAGCGGGCCCUUCGGGGUCAGCUGCAGACGGGUGAGUAACACGUGGGAACGUACCCUUUUGUUCCGAAUAACGCUUUGAAACUAGCGCUAAUACCGGAUACGCCCUGUUGGUGAAAGGCUUGCUGACCGAGUAUGGGCCCGCGUCUGUUUAGCUAGUUGGGGUGGUAAUCGCCUACCAAGGCUACGAUCAGUAGCUGGUCUGAGAGGAUGAUCAGCCACACUGGGACUGAGACACGGCCCAGACUCCUACGGGAGGGAGCAGUGGGGAAUAUUGGAAAAUGGGCGCAAGGAAGAUCGAGCCAUGCUGCGUGAGUGAUGAAGGCCGUAGGGUUGUAAAGCACUUUUGUCCGGGACGAUAAUGACGGUACCGGAAGAAUAAGCCCCGGCUAACUUCGUG
This 433-nucleotide ribosomal RNA is filed under the name uncultured bacterium. Its description in RNAcentral is "partial 16S ribosomal RNA". It matches the Rfam family "Bacterial small subunit ribosomal RNA", at positions 29 to 507 of the family's 1533-position model. The record is from RNAcentral.